RNAcentral lists this ribosomal RNA (467 nucleotides) under uncultured bacterium. RNAcentral's name for it is "partial 16S ribosomal RNA". It matches the Rfam family "Bacterial small subunit ribosomal RNA", at positions 28 to 507 of the family's 1533-position model. The record is from RNAcentral.
GACGAACGCUGGCGGCGUGCUUAACACAUGCAAGUCGAACGGAAAGGCCUCUUUCGUGGGGUACUCGAGUGGCGAACGGGUGAGUAACACGUGAGUAACCUGCCCUUGACUUUGGGAUAACUUCAGGAAACUGGGGCUAAUACCUGAUAGGAGCUCCUGCUGCAUGGUGGGGGUUGGAAAGUUUCGGCGGUUGGGGAUGGAUUCGCGGCUUAUCAGCUUGUUGGUGGGGUAGUGGCUUACCAAGGCUUUGACGGGUAGCCGGCCUGUGAGGGUGACCGGCGACAUUGGGACUGAGAUACGGCACAGACUCCUACGGGAGGCAGCAGUGGGGAAUCUUGAACGAUGGGUGGAAGCCUGAUGCAGCAGCGCCGUGUGCGGGAUGACGGCCUUCGGGUUGUAAAACGCUUUCGCUCGUGACGAAGCUUUGUGUGACGGUAGUGGGUAAAGAAGCACCGGCUAACUACGUG